Molecule: long non-coding RNA, 229 nt
Filed under: Lathyrus oleraceus (garden pea)
Lineage: Eukaryota; Viridiplantae; Streptophyta; Magnoliopsida; Fabales; Fabaceae
Description: Pisum sativum (pea) long non-coding RNA (PSAT_LNC016152)
Source: RNAcentral
GAAAAGGGAAAAAGUACGAACAGAACCCAAAAGUAAUAAGUUUUCAAAUCAAAACUAAUAAAAUGUCAGAGAUUACAAGUAAGGGGGUUGGUUACACAUAGGAAAGGUAUUAGCAUCCAAAGUGUCCUAGGUACUCCUAGGGAGCCCUUUUUGUGUGCAAGUGUUUUGGCCUAAAUGAUGAUUGAUAAAAAUGUGGGGAUGAGAAAAUAAUUCAUUAAUUAUAUUUUUG